UGUUCGGAUUGCGCCGACGAAGGUGGUUCGCCGCCUUCGACGUCGUGAGAAGUUCACUGAACCUUAUCAUUUAGAGGAAGGAGAAGUCGUAACAAGGUUACCGUAGGUGAACCUGCGGUAGGAUCAUUG
This 129-nucleotide ribosomal RNA is filed under the name Keteleeria pubescens. RNAcentral describes it as "partial 18S ribosomal RNA". It matches the Rfam family "Eukaryotic small subunit ribosomal RNA", at positions 1707 to 1831 of the family's 1831-position model. Lineage: Eukaryota; Viridiplantae; Streptophyta; Pinopsida; Pinales; Pinaceae. The record is from RNAcentral.